GUGCUCGCCCCAGCAGCACGUAUACUAAAAUUGGAACCACACAGAGAAGAUCAGCAUGGCCCCUGCCCAAGGAUGACACGCAAAUUCAUGAAGCAUUCUAUAUUUUU
Small nuclear RNA from Jaculus jaculus (lesser Egyptian jerboa), 107 nucleotides. The record is from Ensembl. NCBI's taxonomy places the organism in Eukaryota, Metazoa, Chordata, Mammalia, Rodentia, Dipodidae.